UACGGAGGAUGCGAGCGUUAUCCGGAUUUAUUGGGUUUAAAGGGUGCGUAGGCGGGUUAUCAAGUCAGCGGUAAAAUCGUGGAGCUCAACUCCAUCCAGCCGUUGAAACUGAUGAUCUUGAGUGGGCGAGAAGUAUGCGGAAUGCGUGGUGUAGCGGUGAAAUGCAUAGAUAUCACGCAGAACUCCGAUUGCGAAGGCAGCAUACCGGCGCCCGACUGACGCUGAAGCACGAAGGCGUGGGUAUCGAACAGG
RNAcentral lists this ribosomal RNA (252 nucleotides) under uncultured bacterium. Its description in RNAcentral is "partial 16S ribosomal RNA". It matches the Rfam family "Bacterial small subunit ribosomal RNA", at positions 524 to 776 of the family's 1533-position model. The record is from RNAcentral.